AUAUUUUUAAAAUGAGAUUGCCUCCUCUAUUUAAUGAGCUUACUAUUGUCAUCAUCAGUUCAUUCUUUUCUCUUGCAGUUGUAUCGAGGGCUGCAGGAGAAACAAACUAAAGGAAGUGGGGGCGUUUGAGGAGUAUGUGGAUACCAGCAUCACAAUUGGAAUUGCAGAUGGCGCCUGACCUGCGUCACUUCGGCUCGCCAUCGUUCUGUUCGAGUUGGUGAAAGAGGAGGGAGGGGCUAGUUGUCUCUACUUGUAGUCUUUCUACAAUUCAUCCUUCGUUUUGUCGGCUACUGUUAGCCGAUGACGAGGUAUUUGAAGAUAAUUUGCAGUAUCGAGAUAAAACGAUCUAAUCGUGUCUAAAAAGAGAAAGGAAGGAAAAGGAGGGAGGAAAUAAGGAUCCAACGAACAUAUCCGAUUUUUUCGGGCCUUGAAAAUUAUAAAAUAUCGUGAUGUUAUAUUCGGUGCUUCUGGUUGGCAGUAUAAAUCGAUUGAUAUGAGAUCGUGGAUUUAUUGACAUAUCUAUUUACAACGGUCAUUCAAUCAGAGGAUAACCUGCUUCAAGCGAAAUAACUCGAGGAAAUAAACUUAAAAGAGUUAAAUUUCAUGAAAAUGUUCGACCGUCUUCUUCGUCAGCAGUUUUACAAGUAAAGAAAAAUGGCGUCGAUAGCUUCUAGAUCGCGCAACCGCCGAG
Long non-coding RNA from Apis florea (little honeybee), 691 nucleotides. The record is from RefSeq and is a predicted model, not a curated record. Lineage: Eukaryota; Metazoa; Arthropoda; Insecta; Hymenoptera; Apidae.